Molecule: ribosomal RNA, 650 nt
Filed under: Bacillus subtilis
Lineage: Bacteria; Bacillati; Bacillota; Bacilli; Caryophanales; Bacillaceae
Description: bacterial SSU rRNA
Rfam family: Bacterial small subunit ribosomal RNA
Source: RNAcentral
GAGAUGUGGAGGAACACCAGUGGCGAAGGCGACUCUCUGGUCUGUAACUGACGCUGAGGAGCGAAAGCGUGGGGAGCGAACAGGAUUAGAUACCCUGGUAGUCCACGCCGUAAACGAUGAGUGCUAAGUGUUAGGGGGUUUCCGCCCCUUAGUGCUGCAGCUAACGCAUUAAGCACUCCGCCUGGGGAGUACGGUCGCAAGACUGAAACUCAAAGGAAUUGACGGGGGCCCGCACAAGCGGUGGAGCAUGUGGUUUAAUUCGAAGCAACGCGAAGAACCUUACCAGGUCUUGACAUCCUCUGACAAUCCUAGAGAUAGGACGUCCCCUUCGGGGGCAGAGUGACAGGUGGUGCAUGGUUGUCGUCAGCUCGUGUCGUGAGAUGUUGGGUUAAGUCCCGCAACGAGCGCAACCCUUGAUCUUAGUUGCCAGCAUUCAGUUGGGCACUCUAAGGUGACUGCCGGUGACAAACCGGAGGAAGGUGGGGAUGACGUCAAAUCAUCAUGCCCCUUAUGACCUGGGCUACACACGUGCUACAAUGGACAGAACAAAGGGCAGCGAAACCGCGAGGUUAAGCCAAUCCCACAAAUCUGUUCUCAGUUCGGAUCGCAGUCUGCAACUCGACUGCGUGAAGCUGGAAUCGCUAGUAAUC